GCGACCGUGGUCUAGUGGCAUGAUGGAACCUUCCCAAGGUUUUGACCCGGGUUCGAUUCCCGGCGGUCGCA
Diplonema papillatum is the source of this 71-nucleotide non-coding RNA. NCBI's taxonomy places the organism in Eukaryota, Euglenozoa, Diplonemea, Diplonemida, Diplonemidae. The record is from the annotation of a GenBank genome assembly.